UUUUAAUCGGUAAGUUAUAAAAAAAAAAAAAAAUGAUAAAAUAAUUCAAAUAUCGAGGUAAUUUCUUGAACGCAUAAAUUUUGCAAAGAAAUAUAAACAGAAAUACAAGAACAAAUAAUAAAAGAAGGACAGAGAUAGAUUAAAAAUUGUGAAAUUAGCAUCAUCUUUAGAAUGGCGUAGAUGAAACAUAAAUAUAGAUAAGAAGAAUAAAUAAUAGAAGAAUAGAGAUAGGAUAAGAAUUAACAGUCAACGCCAUCUUAAAUAUUCUAUUUUAUUUUCUAUCUUUAACGACAUGUCAAUAUUUCUAUCCUUCUCUUAUUAUUUGUUCUUUUUCUUUAUAUUUGUAUUUCAUUCGCAACACUCAAGAGAUGGCGCUUCUCAUAUUUCUAUCCCCUUUCCAUUAUUUUCUUUCUUUGUCUACACUUGCUUUGCAAAAUUUAUGCUCGAAAUUUAUGUUCGAAAGACAAUCCAAUAUCUGAUAACUUUUUAUUGUCUUUUUUUUUUAACUUAUUGAAUAAAAAUCUUAAUCAUAAUUUUUUCCAACUAAUUUUAUAGCUUCUAUGUUUCAGUUCGUUCGUGAACAAACAAAAUUCUUGAAAAAAAAAAAAAGAUUAACGAUGAAGGGAAAAUAUAGAUGUUAAAAAAGAUAUUAUGAUAAUAUAAAGAUAGUUAAGUUGCUACUUACGGAGAUUAAAAUAGUUAAAUGUCAUCAGGAGUUCCAUGUUUAUUUUGUCAAGAUUGAAUGUAGUAUAUACAACAUUUAUAAUAGUUAUUACAAUGUUAUGCCUGUAAAUGUGUAUUCGUUUUUUAUUUCGAUAUUGAAGAAAAAAAUUAGUAAUACUUACAAGCCGGCAUCGAACAGAUAGGUUCGAUAAACGCUAACGAUUAUCUAUCCCUAUCAAAACUAUGUAUAAUGUUGCAUGUUGUAAUUUUCUUUCUGUUGCUCAUUUUAUGAUCGAUCUAAUGAUUUCAUGUUCUCCUCUAAUCGAUUAAAAAAAAUAUGAAAAUCGAAUUUAUUUAUCAUCAUUGUGUGAAAAGAAAAGAUUGAAAGGAUUAAAACUUUGCAUUGCCAACUUUAAAAGUUUAAAGCUGCGGUGAGAAUAUUUUCCUUUUUUUUUUUUAAUCUAGAUCAAAUAAAAAAUGGGUCAAUUCUUUUACGAUUAUUACAUAAAAAAAUAGGGAGCAACAAGGAUUCCUUUUUUUUUUUUAUAAUUUUGAUGCGAACGUUCUGUUUUUUUUCUCUCUUUUUUUUUUUUUUUGUUCUUUUAUUAGAACCGUUAUUCGCUAUCACGCCAUAACAAGGUGAUAAUAGUAAAUAUGUAGUUGGAUAAUAUACUAAUAAUAGUAAUAGGAAUAAUAGCAAUAUAGUCGUAAUAUUAAUAUUGACGAUGAUAAUAAUAUCAUUCUUAAUAACCAUAAUAAGAAAUUAUUUCUACCAUAUAUAAUAUUCGUCCUAUAUAACAGUCUUUUUGGCUAACCUUCGAACUAUAAACAAUAAAACAGUUUCUUCCUUCUCGAUACCGCAUCGUUAUCAAUAUGAAAGUCCAUCAAAUAAGCCAACAAACAUUCGUAUUUCUCCACAUUCCAAUAUCCGCCUGGCAAAAACUGACAAAGAAAAAAAAAAAAAAAAAAAAAA
This is a long non-coding RNA of Apis mellifera (honey bee), 1636 nucleotides long. RefSeq lists it as uncharacterized. The record is from RefSeq and is a predicted model, not a curated record. The transcript has 2 exons. NCBI's taxonomy places the organism in Eukaryota, Metazoa, Arthropoda, Insecta, Hymenoptera, Apidae.